Molecule: ribosomal RNA, 464 nt
Filed under: Streptococcus sp. oral taxon 071
Lineage: Bacteria; Bacillati; Bacillota; Bacilli; Lactobacillales; Streptococcaceae
Description: bacterial SSU rRNA
Rfam family: Bacterial small subunit ribosomal RNA
Source: RNAcentral
GACGAACGCUGGCGGCGUGCCUAAUACAUGCAAGUAGAACGCUGAAGAGAGGAGCUUGCUCUUCUUGGAUGAGUUGCGAACGGGUGAGUAACGCGUAGGUAACCUGCCUGGUAGCGGGGGAUAACUAUUGGAAACGAUAGCUAAUACCGCAUAAAAUGGAUUAUCGCAUGAUAAUCCAUUGAAAGGUGCAAAUGCAUCACUACCAGAUGGACCUGCGUUGUAUUAGCUAGUUGGUGGGGUAACGGCUCACCAAGGCGACGAUACAUAGCCGACCUGAGAGGGUGAUCGGCCACACUGGGACUGAGACACGGCCCAGACUCCUACGGGAGGCAGCAGUAGGGAAUCUUCGGCAAUGGACGGAAGUCUGACCGAGCAACGCCGCGUGAGUGAAGAAGGUUUUCGGAUCGUAAAGCUCUGUUGUAAGAGAAGAACGAGUGUGAGAGUGGAAAGUUCACACUGUGACG